AACGAACGCUGGCGGCAGGCCUAACACAUGCAAGUCGAACGCCGUAGCAAUACGGAGUGGCAGACGGGUGAGUAACACGUGGGAACGUACCCUUCGGUUCGGGAUAACUCAGGGAAACUUGAGCUAAUACCGGAUACGUCCGAGAGGAGAAAGAUUUAUCGCCGAGGGAUCGGCCCGCGUCUGAUUAGCUUGUUGGUGAGGUAACGGCUCACCAAGGCGACGAUCAGUAGCUGGUCGAGAGGAUGAUCAGCCACAUUGGGACUGAGACACGGCCCAAACUCCUACGGGAGGCAGCAGUGGGGAAUAUUGGACAAUGGGCGCAAGCCUGAUCCAGCCAUGCCGCGUGAGUGAUGAAGGCCCUAGGGUUGUAAAGCUCUUUUACCCGGGAAGAUAAUGACGGUACCGCAAGAAUAAGCCCCGGCUAACUUCGUGCCAGCCGCCGCCGUAAU
This 449-nucleotide ribosomal RNA is filed under the name uncultured bacterium. RNAcentral describes it as "bacterial SSU rRNA". It matches the Rfam family "Bacterial small subunit ribosomal RNA", at positions 29 to 524 of the family's 1533-position model. The record is from RNAcentral.